This 395-nucleotide ribosomal RNA is filed under the name Acanthamoeba sp. Cerrado FPD-2014. RNAcentral's name for it is "SSU rRNA". It matches the Rfam family "Eukaryotic small subunit ribosomal RNA", at positions 795 to 1093 of the family's 1831-position model. Lineage: Eukaryota; Discosea; Longamoebia; Acanthamoebidae. The record is from RNAcentral.
CAAUAACAUGUAGCAUGGGAUAAUGGAAUAGGACCCUGUCCUCCUAUUUUCUGUUGGUUUUGGCAGCGCGAGGACUAGGGUAAUGAUUAAUAGGGAUAGUUGGAGGCAUUAAUAUUUAAUUGUCAGAGGUGAAAUUCUUGGAUUUAUGAAAGUUUAACUUCUGCGAAAGCAUCUGCCAAGGAUGUUUUCAUUAAUCAAGAACGAAAGUUAGGGGAUCGAAGUCGAUCAGAUACCGUCGUAGUCUUAACCAUAAACGAUGCGGACCAGCGAUUAGGAGACGUUGAAUACAAAACACCACCAUCGGCGCGGUCGUCCUUGGCGUCUCGCGUUCGCGCGCGGCGCGAGGGCGGCUUACCCCGGUGGCACCGGUGAAUGACUCCCCUAGCAGCUUGUGA